GCAGUAACAGCAGGAGCGACAACUGGGGAACUGCCGGGAAGGAGAAUCACUGCUUUAAGAACUUACCUCGUGAAUAAGGAACUGCUGAACUCAAGAUCUCUACAUCAACCAGUUCCUGGGGCAAAGCAUUCCACCUGCAACACAUUUCUGACACUUGAAAACAUAUCAGCCAAACACCACCUACUUUUCCAAAACUGUCAGUACGCAGGAUAUCAGGAAAGAACAAUGGAAGAUGGGUGAAAGUCAGGAAAUGACUGGCAUUAGUUGAUGAGCUGUUAAACUUUUGGGAAGCAAGAGAACAUUCCAAAUGCAGCCAAGUUCAACUUUCUAUAACAUUGCUUAGUACUUUUGAGAGGCUUUUGAAGCACUUUAAACCUAACCCGUUGAGAAACUGAUGGGAUCAGCUGCAAUUCUGGUUUUACACCAAGCACAAUUGUAAUGUUAACAGGAGGCUCCCAAGCACUGAGGAUGUCACCUAGACAGUGGACGAAACGUCUGCAACACAAAUUCCCAGCUCGGCGAACAGAACCACAACAACAAGCACUCGAGCUACAAAUCUUCUCACAAACUUUGUAGUGUUAACAGAUUAAAUUUGAAUGUCUCUCUGGAAAUGAAUAUAUUAAGCUGCACUGAGUGAACAUUCUGGAAGUGUAAUGCAGGAAUGUGAAUGACUCCCAUUCCAAUUAGACAGUCAUUUGCUACUACUCCCCCUACUAUGAUCAAAUUAAACUAUCAUUCAAUGUGAGGGAGUGGCUGGGGGUUGUCGAGUGGCAUGUGACAGUGGGGGAGUGGCCAGAGUAUCUGUGAGCAUG
This is a long non-coding RNA of Chiloscyllium plagiosum (whitespotted bambooshark), 812 nucleotides long. RefSeq lists it as uncharacterized. NCBI's taxonomy places the organism in Eukaryota, Metazoa, Chordata, Chondrichthyes, Orectolobiformes, Hemiscylliidae. The record is from RefSeq and is a predicted model, not a curated record.